CAGAAAAUAGUUUAUUAAAAAUAUUAAUUUUGGAGAUUAAUGUAAAGUAUUAGUUACUUUUUUCUGA
RNAcentral lists this transfer RNA (67 nucleotides) under Abia berezowskii. RNAcentral's name for it is "tRNA-Pro". The record is from RNAcentral. Lineage: Eukaryota; Metazoa; Arthropoda; Insecta; Hymenoptera; Cimbicidae.